RNAcentral lists this ribosomal RNA (1346 nucleotides) under uncultured bacterium. RNAcentral's name for it is "partial 16S ribosomal RNA". It matches the Rfam family "Bacterial small subunit ribosomal RNA", at positions 28 to 1381 of the family's 1533-position model. The record is from RNAcentral.
GACGAACGCUGGCGGCGUGCUUAACACAUGCAAGUCGAACGGAAAGGCCCUGCUUUUGUGGGGUGCUCGAGUGGCGAACGGGUGAGUAACACGUGAGUAACCUGCCCUUGACUUUGGGAUAACUUCAGGAAACUGGGGCUAAUACCGGAUAGGAGCUCCUGCUGCAUGGUGGGGGUUGGAAAGUUUCGGCGGUUGGGGAUGGACUCGCGGCUUAUCAGCUUGUUGGUGGGGUAGUGGCUUACCAAGGCUUUGACGGGUAGCCGGCCUGAGAGGGUGACCGGCCACAUUGGGACUGAGAUACGGCCCAGACUCCUACGGGAGGCAGCAGUGGGGAAUAUUGCACAAUGGGCGGAAGCCUGAUGCAGCAACGCCGCGUGCGGGAUGACGGCCUUCGGGUUGUAAACCGCUUUCGCCCGUGACGAAGCGUGAGUGACGGUAAUGGGUAAAGAAGCACCGGCUAACUACGUGCCAGCAGCCGCGGUGAUACGUAGGGUGCGAGCGUUGUCCGGAUUUAUUGGGCGUAAAGGGCUCGUAGGUGGUUGAUCGCGUCGGAAGUGUAAUCUUGGGGCUUAACCCUGAGCGUGCUUUCGAUACGGGUUGACUUGAGGAAGGUAGGGGAGAAUGGAAUUCCUGGUGGAGCGGUGGAAUGCGCAGAUAUCAGGAGGAACACCAGUGGCGAAGGCGGUUCUCUGGGCCUUUCCUGACGCUGAGGAGCGAAAGCGUGGGGAGCGAACAGGCUUAGAUACCCUGGUAGUCCACGCUGUAAACGGUGGGUACUAGGUGUGGGGUCCAUUCCACGGGUUCCGUGCCGUAGCUAACGCUUUAAGUACCCCGCCUGGGGAGUACGGCCGCAAGGCUAAAACUCAAAGGAAUUGACGGGGCCCCGCACAAGCGGCGGAGCAUGCGGAUUAAUUCGAUGCAACGCGUAGAACCUUACCUGGGUUUGACAUGGAUCGGGAGUGCUCAGAGAUGGGUGUGCCUCUUUUGGGGUCGGUUCACAGGUGGUGCAUGCCUGUCGUCAGCUCGUGUCGUGAGAUGUUGGGUUAAGUCCCGCAACGAGCGCAACCCUUGUUCACUGUUGCCAGCACGUUAUGGUGGGGACUCAGUGGAGACCGCCGGGGUCAACUCGGAGGAAGGUGGGGAUGACGUCAAGUCAUCAUGCCCCUUAUGUCCAGGGCUUCACGCAUGCUACAAUGGCUGGUACAGAGAGUGGCGAGCCUGUGAGGGUGAGCGAAUCUCGGAAAGCCGGUCUCAGUUCGGAUUGGGGUCUGCAACUCGACCUCAUGAAGUCGGAGUCGCUAGUAAUCGCAGAUCAGCAACGCUGCGGUGAAUAAGUUCCCGGGGCU